Molecule: ribosomal RNA, 777 nt
Filed under: uncultured Neocallimastigales
Lineage: Eukaryota; Fungi; Neocallimastigomycota; Neocallimastigomycetes; Neocallimastigales
Description: partial large subunit ribosomal RNA
Rfam family: Eukaryotic large subunit ribosomal RNA
Source: RNAcentral
AUAUCAGUCAUGCAUAGCAUAUCAAUAAGCGGAGGAAAAGAAACUAACAAGGAUUCCCUUAGUAACGGCGAGUGAAGCGGGAAGAGCUCAAAUUUGAAAUCUUCAAGGUUCUACCUUGACGAAUUGUAGUUUAUAGAAGUGUUUUCUGUUAGUAGGAGUGGCAAAAGUUCUUUGGAAUAGGACAUCAUAGAGGGUGAGAAUCCCGUAUUUGGUCAUUCUCUUCCUAGCUUUGUGAUACACUUUCAACGAGUCGGAUUGUUUGGGAAUGCAGUCCAAAAUGGGUGGUAAAUUUCAUCUAAAGCUAAAUAUUGGCGAGAGACCGAUAGCGAACAAGUACCGUGAGGGAAAGAUGAAAAGAACUUUGAAAAGAGAGUUAAACAGUACGUGAAAUUGUCAAAAGGGAAGCGUUUGACACCAGUGUUGUUUUUCCGAAAAUCAAUUACGAAUGUUUUGUUUUUAAGAAGUUAUGACUUCAUCGGCUUGCUUCUUUCUUUACGAAACUUUCUUAAUGCACUUUUCGGUUAACAAGUCAACAUCAAUUUCUUUUGUUGUAAAAGGGUACGAGGAAGGUGGCUUUCUUUUCGGAGAAAGUGUUUAUAGCCUUGUACCUCUGCAAUCGGAGAGAUUGAGGUCUGCAGCGUAGAUCCUUCGGGGUUAGAUACAUUUGUGCUAAGUUAUAGCUUUUCAUAGACAACUUGUUGACUAUGUUAAGUCUUGUAGCUUACUCGCUUAUGCUAUUUUACCUACGCUUAGGAUGUUGAUCUCUCACAGUCGAGC